Cucumis melo (muskmelon) is the source of this 74-nucleotide non-coding RNA. Lineage: Eukaryota; Viridiplantae; Streptophyta; Magnoliopsida; Cucurbitales; Cucurbitaceae. The record is from Rfam.
GGGAUUGUAGUUCAAUUUGUCAGAGCACCACCCUGUAAAGGCAGAAGCUGCGGGUUCGAGCCCCAUCAGUCCUG